UGGCUCAGUUUCCUGGGGGGUGGGCCCAGCCUACUCUACCUCCCCUCAGCUGAGCCUAUAGUAGAGGGGCCAGGCAUCCUCCCCCAUGGGAGAGGCAUUUGAGUAAGGAGCCUUGCCUCUGGUGUCCUAGCUGCACAUUU
Callithrix jacchus (white-tufted-ear marmoset) is the source of this 140-nucleotide non-coding RNA. RefSeq annotates it as small Cajal body-specific RNA 21. NCBI's taxonomy places the organism in Eukaryota, Metazoa, Chordata, Mammalia, Primates, Cebidae. The record is from RefSeq and is a predicted model, not a curated record.